UGGCCUAAAAGUUCAUUUGGGUUUUUCCAUAAGAUGUUACAGGAAAACAUGAAUGAACUUUUUGGCCAA
Molecule: microRNA precursor, 69 nt
Filed under: Tursiops truncatus (common bottlenose dolphin)
Lineage: Eukaryota; Metazoa; Chordata; Mammalia; Artiodactyla; Delphinidae
Description: miRNA (ENSTTRG00000025275.1)
Source: RNAcentral